UACUUUAGAAACGAGUUGAAGAGAUGAC
This 28-nucleotide non-coding RNA is filed under the name Bombyx mori (domestic silkworm). The record is from RNAcentral. Lineage: Eukaryota; Metazoa; Arthropoda; Insecta; Lepidoptera; Bombycidae.